GCCGAGGUAGCUCAGUUGGUAGAGCACUGCUCUGAAAAAGCAGGUGUCGCUGGUUCGAAUCCAGCCCUCGGCACCA
This 76-nucleotide transfer RNA is filed under the name bacterium. RNAcentral describes it as "tRNA-Phe". It matches the Rfam family "tRNA". Rfam says of the family: Transfer RNA (tRNA) molecules are approximately 80 nucleotides in length. RNAcentral also lists the same sequence under 1 other name. The record is from RNAcentral.